AACCAAGCAAGAUAUCUUCACUGAAGCUUCAUUGUUAGUGAUGUUUUAGUCACAGGUUGAAAAGGAAGAAUUUGUGACCCAGAAAACAGAACAAGGUGCCAUACUUCAGUAACUGUCCUCAAUGUGAUACAGAUAGUAAAACCUACCUGUACAGGAUUGACCCCAUGUAAGGUCUGCGUUAACUUCAUCUACAUCAUCUCAAAGACGGCAAAAUUGUUAAGCAAAUCUUCCAUUACUUGUUUGACUCUGGUCAGAAGAACUGGAUCUGGGGUAGUGCCAUGUGUACCAAAGGCUAGCUGCAGAUAUUAAAAUAAAUGUCUCUGUGACUUGUUUAGUUUUGUCCUCGGAAUCCAUCUCUUCCCUCUCAGUUUUCUGGACUAGAUACAACUGGAAUUAUUGGUGUGGCUUCCCUAUAAGCAGGUAUGGUUGGAAAUCUUAUACCAGGGAGCUAAUU
This 454-nucleotide long non-coding RNA is filed under the name Anser brachyrhynchus (Pink-footed goose). RNAcentral describes it as "lncRNA (ENSABRG00000021764.1)". Lineage: Eukaryota; Metazoa; Chordata; Aves; Anseriformes; Anatidae. The record is from RNAcentral.